UGCCCCAUGGCUUAGUUGGCUAUAGCGUCCGACUGUUAUUUCUAGCAGGUGCAUCGGAAGGUCGAGAGUUCGAGCCUCUCUGGGGCAG
Molecule: non-coding RNA, 88 nt
Organism: Pleurotus ostreatoroseus
Lineage: Eukaryota; Fungi; Basidiomycota; Agaricomycetes; Agaricales; Pleurotaceae
Source: the annotation of a GenBank genome assembly